This 390-nucleotide ribosomal RNA is filed under the name uncultured bacterium. RNAcentral describes it as "bacterial SSU rRNA". It matches the Rfam family "Bacterial small subunit ribosomal RNA", at positions 28 to 417 of the family's 1533-position model. The record is from RNAcentral.
GACGAACGCUGGCGGCGUGCUUAACACAUGCAAGUCGAGCGGUAAGGCCCUUUCGGGGGGUACACGAGCGGCGAACGGGUGAGUAACACGUGGGUGACCUGCCCUCAGCUCUGGGAUAAGCCUGGGAAACCGGGUCUAAUACCGGAUAUGACUCCAUGACGCAUGUUGUGGGGGUGGAAAGCCUUGUGCGGCUGAGGAUGGGCCCGCGGCCUAUCAGCUUGUUGGUGGGGUGAUGGCCUACCAAGGCGACGACGGGUAGCCGGCCUGGGAGGGCGACCGGCCACACUGGGACUGAGACACGGCCCAGACUCCUACGGGAGGCAGCAGUGGGGAAUCUUGCGCAAUGGGCGAAAGCCUGACGCAGCGACGCCGCGUGAGGGAUGACGGCCU